UUAUUUUCAAGGCACUUAUGAAUAGAAGAGAGAAUGCAAAAACCACACUUGCAGAUUUGUCCUGAAGUGAAGUGUCAAAUUCAAUGUGUGUUGAACUGUCUUUUUCAGGAGCAUGAACAAGACAAAGCAACCAGCAGAAGAAACUCUAGCCUUUUUGAUGCUGGUUAUGAAAAGGAAAAGUCUUUCUCUACAGGCUUUUUGUUACCUUGUUCUCACUGAAGUUGAGAGGAGGGUUUUGGAGACUGUAACAAAAUUUAUCCAGCUUCUUGGCAUUCCUGGAAAAAGUGUCUUCUGUUACUCUGCAGGUACCCUUGUGCAUCUGAUCUGAUAGAUGCAGUGGGAUUCUCUCUGGAACAAAUAAAUGGCAAAGUUACGAACAGUACUUGUCAACACCCUGUAUGAACAGUGUUUAUUAACUGACAGAUAUAGGAUGUGUAUGAACUGUUCAUUGUUUU
Chroicocephalus ridibundus (black-headed gull) is the source of this 455-nucleotide long non-coding RNA. RefSeq lists it as uncharacterized. The record is from RefSeq and is a predicted model, not a curated record. Lineage: Eukaryota; Metazoa; Chordata; Aves; Charadriiformes; Laridae. The transcript has 3 exons.